AAGAGUUUUGGAUAUGGCUCAGAUUGAACGCUGGCGGCAGGCUUAACACAUGCAAGUCGAGCGGAGAGAGGUAGCUUGCUACUGAUCUUAGCGGCGGACGGGUGAGUAAUGCUUAGGAAUCUGCCUAUUAGUGGGGGACAACAUUUCGAAAGGAAUGCUAAUACCGCAUACGUCCUACGGGAGAAAGCAGGGGAUCUUCGGACCUUGCGCUAAUAGAUGAGCCUAAGUCGGAUUAGCUAGUUGGUGGGGUAAAGGCCUACCAAGGCGACGAUCUGUAGCGGGUCUGAGAGGAUGAUCCGCCACACUGGGACUGAGACACGGCCCAGACUCCUACGGGAGGCAGCAGUGGGGAAUAUUGGACAAUGGGCGCAAGCCUGAUCCAGCCAUGCCGCGUGUGUGAAGAAGGCCUUAUGGUUGUAAAGCACUUUAAGCGAGGAGGAGGCUACUUUAGUUAAUACCUAGAGAUAGUGGACGUUACUCGCAGAAUAAGCACCGGCUAACUCUGUGCCAGCAGCCGCGGUAAUACAGAGGGUGCAAGCGUUAAUCGGAUUUACUGGGCGUAAAGCGCGCGUAGGCGGCUAAUUAAGUCAAAUGUGAAAUCCCCGAGCUUAACUUGGGAAUUGCAUUCGAUACUGGUAGCUAGAGGUUGAAGUAUUU
Molecule: ribosomal RNA, 657 nt
Filed under: Acinetobacter pittii
Lineage: Bacteria; Pseudomonadati; Pseudomonadota; Gammaproteobacteria; Moraxellales; Moraxellaceae
Description: bacterial SSU rRNA
Rfam family: Bacterial small subunit ribosomal RNA
Source: RNAcentral